UCCCAAGAACUUCGGCAACGGCGC
This 24-nucleotide non-coding RNA is filed under the name Arabidopsis thaliana (thale cress). The record is from RNAcentral. Lineage: Eukaryota; Viridiplantae; Streptophyta; Magnoliopsida; Brassicales; Brassicaceae.